This 402-nucleotide ribosomal RNA is filed under the name bacterium. Its description in RNAcentral is "partial 16S ribosomal RNA". It matches the Rfam family "Bacterial small subunit ribosomal RNA", at positions 355 to 776 of the family's 1533-position model. The record is from RNAcentral.
UGGGGAAUUUUGCACAAUGGGGGAAACCCUGAUGCAGCGACGCCGCGUGAUUUAGAAGGCCUUCGGGUUGUAAAAAUCUUUUUUACGGGAUGAAAAUGACAGUACCGUAAGAAUAAGGUCCGGCUAAAUACGUGCCAGCAGCCGCGGUAAUACGUAUGGACCGAGCGUUGUCCGGAAUCAUUGGGCGUAAAGGGUACGUAGGCGGCCUAGUAAGUUAGAAGUGAAAUAAUAUAGCUCAACUAUAUAAAGCUUUUAAAACUGCUAGGCUUGAGAGAUGGAAGGGGAAGUGGAAUUCCUAGUGUAGCGGUGAAAUGCGCAGAUAUUAGGAAGAAUACCGGUGGCGAAGGCGACUUUCUGGUCAUCAUCUGACGCUGAGGUACGAAAGCGUGGGUAGCAAACAGG